CAGAAUGGAAGCAUACUCUAUGUACUUGCAGAGCUUGAAUUUUAGGAGAACUUUAUCACGUAAUUUGCCCCAUGCCAGAAAAACAGCAGUUAUUACCAGGCUGACGCGAAAAGGCUUUGGCUUGUUGGAUUCAGGAAAACAUGAAAUGGGCCCUGCUCUGGGAUGACUGAUAGGAAACUGGCAUCUGCAUUGACUUCUUGAGCAAUGAGUUUCUUUUGGUAAAACCAAGUUGGCCAGUCCCCGGGUGCUGGUACUACAAAUUUUUUCAAGUAAUGUUCCAGUUGUGGACAGCACAGGAAUAUGUGAUCAAUGGCUGAUUUAUAGUCCUCCAUACUUUUCAAAGAUUGCUCAAACUCAUCUAUUAAAUUAGUAGACUCAAGGGUACAGAGCUCAUCGUGCGACAACCCAGAAUAGACCCUA
Long non-coding RNA from Nematostella vectensis (starlet sea anemone), 420 nucleotides. RefSeq lists it as uncharacterized. The transcript has 2 exons. NCBI's taxonomy places the organism in Eukaryota, Metazoa, Cnidaria, Anthozoa, Actiniaria, Edwardsiidae. The record is from RefSeq and is a predicted model, not a curated record.